CUGAUAAAAGUCACCACCAUUUUGCGAAUGAAUUAUUAAAAAAAAUAAAUGUUUUUGUUUUGAAAUGAUAUGCGUAUGACAAUUCAUGGACAGUGUAUAACUGAUGAAAAAGGAACUUAUGAUUUUGCUUGCUUGCUGCAUUGUAAAACGUGGGUAUCUCCUGCAGAACAUUGGAUAACACGAUCAGGUAACCCAUGUCCAAGGCAAAAUGUCAAGCAAAGUAUUAUAUACCACGGGGUAGUUUUUAUACCGAUAAGAAUUCAUGGAUCACAUAAAGAAGAUUACGAAUGGCGAAUACCUUUUUUAAGUGACAAAGAUGUUUCUUAUAAACACAUUUACGCACACCCAAUUACUGUGUUAAAAAAUAUUUCACAAGAUGUUAUUGCAAAAUACUGUGAAUGUAAAGAUUUACUCUGUUCUUAUUUCUUGAAAACAAUUCUUUUCUGAAAAAUUACCAUUAACUGUAUGGAAGCUUACGUUACUUCAUUUCAGAAAACAACAUGUUCGAGAACAAAAUAGAGGGUCAUGCUCGGG
This 534-nucleotide long non-coding RNA is filed under the name Mytilus galloprovincialis (Mediterranean mussel). The record is from RNAcentral. Lineage: Eukaryota; Metazoa; Mollusca; Bivalvia; Mytilida; Mytilidae.